UGAAAGGCCCAUCAAGAACAGGUGGAGCUCCAGCUGCAAAGAGCUUGAAAGACAAAAGCACCAUCUCAAAUGGCAAGAUUCAGACGCAGCCGGAGCCGGAGCCUCAGUCGCCGCCGUCGGAGGAGGCGACGUGGAGGUAAAGGUGGAAGGAGGAGGAGGAGAAGGCGCCAUGGCAGAAGGAAAGGUCGCAGGCAUGGUCGCAGAAGGAGAAGAGGGAGAGGCAAGAAAGAUUAAGUUCCAUCUUCAUGAUUCCUCCAUCUUGUACUCCUGACACUGCUGGCCUCUUUUGAGAAUCUGCCAAAAAAUGAAAAAUGAAAACCUUCUGAAGAGAACACCCAGGAUGACUUCCCCUAGAAACAAAAGAGGCUGAAACAAUUUGAACAAUACCACCUGUCAAUAAACAUUGACAUUUUA
Pantherophis guttatus is the source of this 414-nucleotide long non-coding RNA. RefSeq lists it as uncharacterized. Lineage: Eukaryota; Metazoa; Chordata; Lepidosauria; Squamata; Colubridae. The record is from RefSeq and is a predicted model, not a curated record.